CUGUUAGCCAAAAAACCAAAGUGUGGAUACGAUAAAGCUUAUUAAUCAGAGAGUGGAAAUAUUACGGGUUUAUUUUCAGAGGAGAUGAGGAUCUAAGAUGAAGAGGUAUGAGAUUGUCAAAGUACAUCUAUGUGUGUGUGUGUGUUGGACCAGUUUAACAGCCUUUUUAUGCGUCCAGCCGCACGCUGUGACAGUUUGUUUGUGGAGUUGUAAACACGUUGGUGGUAGUGGUGGUGAUGACGGCGGCGGCGGCGUGUUGGUGGUUUGGAAGUGACUCUGUCUCGCUAAAUGACUGCCUGAAGGCACGUCACCUCAAACGCCCUCUGCUGUAUUACUGACUUAUUGUUGGUGUCAUGUUCCUUCAUUCAUCUACAUGUCUCGCUUUUUCUCCGAGCUGUUUUUCCUUUAAACGCACCCCACAAUCCCCUGUUUCAGAGUCAGCAGAUAAAGAAAGACAGAUCGGAAAGUUGUGUAUGAGUCAAAGUGUUUUAAGGAUGUUUUUCGAAGUAACUGUAAGUUGGUAAAAAGGUUUUGUUAAUCUGAAAACCAUUUUAACCAUCUAACAUUGUGGUGUGCAGAAGCUGUUGGUUAUGCAGCAGCAUUAAAGGGAUAUUCCGGUGCAAAAUUGAUUUAAGGUCAAACACACCAUAACACCACUACAGGACUACAGCGGGGUGACGCAGCUCAAGGAAGAAUAUUUACGAUCAUUUCUUCAUGGAAAUGCAAUCAGACCGAGACGCUAAAGCAGAAGAACUACCACGUCUGCAGUGCAAAGUGAUAAUAAUGAUGAUUAGUACUUAAAGGAAAUGAUAAAGAAACCAUCAAAAAUGUUCUUCCUUGAGCUGCGUCACCCCGCUGUAGUCCGUAAUGGACUGGCCUGAGGUUUCGCUACAAAAAAGCGGCUGCUGGAAGAGAGUAGGUGAGUUGUUUUUAGUCUCUUUGCAAAAGAAAUUAGGUAAAGUUAAAAAGAUGUUUGAAUUUUACGGCACUAAAACAGUAUAUGGAUAAAUGGUUGCAAUCAUGGCUCAAGAGCUGCUGGUGCCCGAUUUUCACGAUAAAGUGAGGGUUCAUGCUGGUUUUACUUCUAGGAAUCAUGAAAAUCGUGCACCAGCAGCUUGAAACUGAAUUUUACGGCACUAAAAAAGUAUGUCCAUAAAAAGGUUGGUUGCAAUCACGGCUCAAGGACUGUAGCUGCUCUGACGUACAGUGGUGGACAGUAACGGAGUAAAUUUACUUGAGUACUGUACUUAAGUACAGAUUCUGAGGAUUUGUACUUUACUCAAAUACUAGAAUUCUUUAAUACUUAUUACUCAACCAGGAGUAUUUGUACUCUUACUCAAGUACUGGGGUCAAGUAUUCUGUCCAUGUCUGCUGACGUAUAAUGUCACUAGCUUAACUGAUGGAUUCUGUGCACAUUGCUAGUUUGAGCUAGUUGAUCAAUUUUCACAGCAUUGUGGGCUACUCAUUCAAGGGUCUGUUGAAACUUCUGUAAAAUGGGAUUACAUGUACCAACGGAUGUUUGGAGCAAUACUAAAAAAGUCAUUCAUUCAGACUGCUAUGAUGUGGCAUCUCCUACAAAGAUCUCUGUAUACGUCAGACUAAAAGAUCUAAAUUUAGCUGCAAUUCAAUCUGAAACAAUGUCUGCGUUAGUGUUUUCCAGCGAGCUCUGCCAAAGAACAACUUUCACUUAAGGGAUGGCCACAGGUCCACAGGUCCACAGGUUACGGGGGAGUUUUUAUUCAAAGGGAUCGGUUUUCUCCGGGUCUACGUUUCCUCUCCAGCUUCAAACACUGUCGCUGAAGUAGCAGCGACUCUUGGGUACCCCCAGAUCUUCAGACCUCAUCACCACGCUUCUGCACUUGACCUGCCUGUGUCCUCGGAGAUCAGCAGUCAGUUAAGUGCCCUUCAUAUGUUUUUUUCUGUUGUUGUUUUACCCUGAGAGUAAAGAGGAGCUCGGUUCAGCCUCCUGCUCUGCUACUCCGCUAAUUGGAACCAGGAUCAGUAAAAAUGGGAACUUAAGUAAAACAUGCCAUAAAAUUCUGAAGGCUAACCAUAAACUAACCAAUUUCUUUCAUUCUUUUAAAGGGAACUCUAACUGAAACCUCCACGUAAACUUUUACGAGGAUCCCUGGGGUCACCCGUAAACCCGUUAAUAGAGAUGAGAUAUGAGCGGGGUGCUCGGGCCUCCCAUUUCGUUUGCAUGUCUUUCUCUCCUUUUUUCUGUCCUCCUGUUCCAGUGCAUUCUUGAAAGAGGUCAAAUGCUGUUCGGAGGCUAACACUGCCAAGACUCCGAUUGCCGUUUUUAUCGAGGCGGGGAAAUGAAAAUUCAAUCCACGUGGAUGGAUUUGAGCGGAUAACUGUCGACACGUUUGAGCUGUUGGUCCCCUCGUACACUCUCGCUCUGACUGAGGUGAGUUUGGGGCAAAGGUGUGCAAAGGUGAGGUUCACACUGUUUUAGAGGCCAUCGAGCUGCCGGAGUUUUCUUUCAUGUUCUGCAUGGGAAAAUUCGUGAGCUUUACGUACCAAGUAAUCGACAAACCUAUAGUGGUCGGUGUGUUACGAUCUGUUCUCGCAGCAUAGAUCAGAGGUCCAUCUUUCACAUCCUCAGAAAAUGUAUUAAAAAGAAUAAAAAACACAAAUGAAAACAAAAUAUUGCGAAUAUGUUUGCCUGAUUGAAGGUGAAUUCUUCUCGAAAACGUAGCUUUUGUCUUCGUUUCGGCCUUCAGUCAACACAAAUAUGGAGUGUUUCGCUCGUCACUUCCACAUGGCGAUUUUUGGCAAACUCUUCCUCGUCUGUAUUCGUUCAGAUGGGUAAAAUGACAUUUUGGGGGAGCGUGAUCACCUCAUUUAUUGUUAUUUUUUGUUCAUAUGUACCGCAGAUGCACCAAGAUGUGACUUGUAGGUCAGACUGCAUAUUUACAAGGAAACGUAAUGAUGUUUCGUUAGUAUCCUACAGCGUUGGGUCCAAUAAAUAUAACAUACUCAAUAUUUUCCACCAUUCGUCAGUCUGUUUCACAAAGUUGUUCUCAAUGUGUGGUAGUUAUUGUUGAGGUAAGUCUCCUCGCCAAUAUUAAGUGAAAGAUAAUGUGAUUUUCUUUCCUUGUUACAGCUUCAUCAAAUAUAAUAAACUCAAUAACUUGUGUUCUCGUAGAUUUUUUAAAAUCUCUGUUUGAAGGAAACAUAAGAGGAAGAAACGAGGGAAAACAAAAGCCAUGGCCGGCUGUGAGAGCAGUGUUGGGAAUCAUUAUCUACUUAAAUGCUCCGGCCUCGCUCUCUUUGUUGCUUUACUCAAAGCAUGAGCUGUGUUUCAUAUCCCGCUGAGAAUAAUGAGAACAGUCUCGGGACCCGUUGUGGUUAUUUUGACAAAUUGAGCCUGCAGUCGUUUUUCCUUUUACUCCCACAUAUAUAUUGCAAUCUAAAUCACGACUUUACUGUAACAGAGAUGAUUUGGACCUUUGGUUCUGGGCUUUCCUGGGGCUGAAUUAUAAAACCGAGCGUUGUAACCGCAUAUCCUGGGAGUGAAGUAAGUGGUCACUGACUCCCAGCAAAUCUAUUAGCGCAGGAAUGAUGGUGGUGCUGAAAAAUCUGACAAAACAAUUGGUUAAUUUUACAAAUGAUAAUGAUUUCUUUAAAGUCAGAUGGCCCCUCCGGGCAACCAAAAUAUAGGCCUCGGUUAAACGUCACGUCACAAGAGUUCAUGAGUCUCUGAUGCCUUUGGUCAACAAGACGGACGCCUGCAUUUUUUAGUGCAACGCUAACAUCUCAGGUUACUCUGCAGCCCAAGCCGAGCAGCGGCCUGAGACCACCCCUCAAUUAAUCUUACCCUUGUAGCGGCUUAUAAUUUGCCAUUACAAAAGCCAUUAAACCUGGGGGCCUGAUCCAGAGCUCCUGGGACUGGUUUGGAGGAGGGGACGGGGAUCGGACAGGCCUCCAGUUGGCCCCUUGGACCCUGGACGAGCUCCUUUCCAGAAACAGACAGGUACUUAAAAACAGGGUGAAAAGAUCACCUUAAAGAAAACAAGGAUGAUUAAUGGGGAAAAAUGAGGGCCCUUUAGGUCGCUUUCAUCUGGGUCUGAUUCUGGUCUUCAGUGAGCCAUUAACCUAAAGGACAACUGUCCACCGCCAACGUGAGAAAUGAAGCCCCCCCCCCCCAACUCACGCCAGUUUGGACAAAUGUUUGAGGUGCUGCGAGAAAGUUCGAGAGGCUGGGAUGUCUGAGAGUAGAUGUGGUUUAGUUUUCUCCAAAAUCAAAGAAACUAUCAGUGAUUUAGUGAGACGCUGAUAACAUUUACGAGGAUGUAUGUUACUGAUUCGCUUUCUGAACUCCAGGACAGUCUCUCAUACAAAAAUGGAAUUCAGUUAAUGCUUGCUAACUGCAGUUUUAGAGUACGGCAAUAAAUAUCAACAUCGAGCAAUCCAGCUCAACUCAAGUAUUAAAGCAAAGGGGAAGUUAAGGAGUCUGAACUUAUUUGAUAUUACGACUAAGUCCACACUGAAUUUCUGUCACCAGGGACUACCUCAAGUCAUGUUGAAUUUGUUCAAAAGAAAAUUAGAGUUAAUCACCUGGGACAAGAUUUAGGAAGCUAACAUAACUAAGCCAGAAAUGAAGGUUCGUCUUCCAGUACAGAUGUGGUUAAAGUUCAAAAUGAAGUUAGUUUUCUAUUUUUCUAGAGCCUUUUUGUUCCUUUCAGCACACUGUUGUCAUAAAAUAAAAAUAUAACACUUUUGAGUUUGAGCCGCCGCUUACAAGCUAAGCUAAGCAAAGCGUACAGGUAGGUGGCGCUAUUUUAGAGGGUAGGCAUGCUGAAAAAUGUCAAGAAGUGAUUGGGAACAAUAGUCUCCUCUUUACAGGACUUGUAGCAACUAGUUUGAAACUCCGGAAAUGUGCAAAUGCUGCGAGAUUAACGAGUAAUCAAAAUGAUCUCAAAAUAACAGCAUUCAUGACAUUUUCAUCAUGCACUCUCUCCUGCACAUUUCUUAUGUUUCAGUGUUAUCCUGUAUUUACAUCAGAGUAGAUUCACACACACACACCCUCAGAAAACAGAUGGAUGGUGGUGUUGCAGAGUCAUUUCUCAGGAAAGUUAGUUUACGUCAGCACAAGCAGCAAAAUCAGAGAAAAAAACAAGUGCUUACCGUUCUGAAUCAUUUGAGUGCAUCAGUAAGAGCAGGAAAAAAAAAAAACUUUUACCGUAACCAAGAACAGAUUUGGGUUUUGCAAGCACACCUACGCCAAAGACAAAUUGCAUGUCUGCGUCUUUCCUAAAGGUAUGUCUCUUUGGCUUCUUCAAAGCUUCUUGUUCUCAGCUCAACAGUUUGUACUCCUCAUGUGUUAACUCAGAUAAAUGGAAACUCCUUUAGAUUCGACUUGAUAGGCAGUCUGACUCUGAUUACAUCCAGCUACUGCUUCCAGGUAUGGUCAUGUGUCUGCAGACAUCACUGUGACUCCAGUUUGGGUAGCAUGAGGUUUUUGUUUUCCCAAGUGCAAAAGCAGCUGGACUAAGUUAUAAAAGUAGGAUUCAAACUGUGUGGACUCAAAUACAGGAUUUAACAAAUAAGUCCAAUUCUGUUACUGUGGAUUUCUUAUCAAAGCCUGACUUAAAGAUAGGUUUGCUUUGUCGGCUACAUUUUGCCAUUUAGGCAAGGGACAUCCCUUCCUGUGCACUUCUGAUUUAGACGUUAGCAGCUACGCGGUCAUGCAGCCUCCAAAGGUGGGUAUAAAUAAUACAGCGCUGGAUGGACGACCGGAGCACCGGUACGGUUCGUGGCAAGUCCAAAACCCACACCUGGCCCCGGAGUGAAAUCAAAUCUAUCUUGAACUCUGUCUCUCUCCUCAUUUUGCCGUGGCAGUUUUCCGUGAGCGGAGUUCUGGGUCAGGAGUCAGGAGGAGUGAUUUGAGUCCAGGUCACACACACGGACAGUUUCACACAAUAAUGUGUUUCAAAGAUGUUGCGUCACCGAAGCAAAAGGAAACAUUCAAGUCUGGUUUAUUUAAAGAGAGUAAAAGAGCAUCAUGGCUCCGAUCUCCAUUUGAAUGUAAAUUAGAUUAUCUCAGUCGUGCUAAUCCACCAGUUUGCAUGUACUGCAUCAUGCGAGUCAUUCACAGUAACAAAGGCUGGACUUUUCACCAAUAAUGCGCCGUAAUCACCGGCCAUUAAACCACUUUCUAUAGAUUAACACCCACUAAAUCCUCUGCAAGUCAUUGUGUUUUUCUAAAAGGAUCAAUAAACCAAUUCUUCUCGUUUAUGUUUUUCUUGUCCACAGCAAUCAGUUCACUGCUGAUUAAAUCACAGCAAAUUAUCUCCCUGGGAUUUAUCUCGCCUAAAUUGAGUUUCUUUCACCCUUGUGGCCACGGGAGAGCGGGCAACGCCUGCUGGGAGAGAGAAAUAAUCAUUCAUUAACCUCUGACCUGGAAGGAGUGUCAAUUGAGUCGCCCGACUGUGUUUUUCUCUCCCCGCACUCAGCCCCCCUUGAGCGCCCAGCCACGGCAAAUUGACAAUUUACACGCCACGGCCCAAACUUUAUUAACCUGUGCGUGGUUUGAUGCAGUCCUGUGAUCAGCUGGGAGCAAAGAUUGUGAAUAACAUGAGGAACCUUUGUAGUCUGAUUCAUGAUGUGGACACCAAUGAUAAAGCAGAUAGCAUCUGAGUGAAGGAAACGCAUGCAAACACAUCUGAAGCCUGAUUUAUGAGCGCUUAAGAGCUUCUUAGACUGUCUUUUUCAACAUCACAUAUCCUUCGACCUGUUGUGCAGUUUUCAGCCUCAGCAGGGUUUGACGUGUUCAUAUGGUCACAGCAGGAGUGAUAAGUUACAGUGGAGCUUUUUUUUUUUCUGUGCUCCACAUGGACGUCCUCAUGUGCAGGCAUGCAUCUGAUUUUUAUAAGCGUUUCCUGCUUCAACAAUGUUCCAACAAAUCAUUUCCAAUCCAUUUGGUUUCAGUAAGUUGUGAAAUGAUUAGCCAAAGUUGUGCAACACGGGUUUACUCCUGAUGGAAACAAGGCAACUUCUGUCUCCAUUCCUGAUAAAACUAACAAAGGUAGACCACUAAAGAUGCAAACAAUACAAAUAACCGCCAAGUUUAAGAGCAUUCGUGAGAUCUUGAAUGAGAAAUAAGAAUAAUCUGGGCUGUCGACGGAUCAACACUUUUAAUCUUGCAAGUUUAAAAUGUCAUUAUUUUGCUUUUCAACGAUAUAUCAACAAUGUCAAACACUCUUUUCUAUCAACUGGCUUUUAGACGUUACUUUCAAAUAAAUGCAGCAAUGCUACACCAGUAUGAGUCUCUUACCUCUUAUUUUAACUGUUCAUUAUUAAUGUAUUUACCAAUGAUGACUAUGCCUUUCGUUAAAAAUAUGCAGGAGCGCAUGUGCGAAAUGUCAAAACAUAGUCAAUGUCCGGCAUUAUUAAGUUAUUCCUUGAUCUGUUUGGUUUCCCACUGACAUCUAAUGGUCCCUUGGUUAGUUUGGCUGCUGUCUCGGUUUCAUACUGGUCCUGUUUGAAUGAAACUAUUGUUCCCCCCGACUGUAAAGCCUGUUUGGUGGUUCGAUGGCUUUGAUGGUGUUUUUUUGGUUUUGUUGCUCAGAUUCAUUUGACAUGGUUUCCUGUAAACCAAGAAGAAGGGCGUGGACAUCGGCAAUGUGACAAGGAUAGACAUCGCACCGCUGACCAGUGUUUCGGUUGAGUAUUGCAGAGUGACACAGACACUCCUACACAGAAGUACGUAGUGCUCAUGACAGCGCCGGCGUUUACUGACUCAGACACAUAAACCCAAGCCACUGGUUGAAUUCCCGACUCGGACUUCGGACAUUCUGACUACCAAGUACAACUGGAACACAGCAUUAAAGUGUGAUAGUGAUAUUUUAAUUCUAUUGUCUGAGAAACAAAUGCUUCUUUUUUGGACCGUUGUGUCAUGAUCAGUGUUGGUGACAGACCUAGACUGUAUAUAGAAUGGACGCUGCUUGCGAUGUUGACAUGCUGUUACUGUAAGACUGGUUUGUCCUCUUUUUUUCUGUACAGCUCUGUUUCAUCCCAGCGUCAUCACAGCAACUCUCUGCGACUCUCCCGAAUGUGUACAACGCUACUGCGCAAUGUUGGUUUCAGGAAAUGAAGAAAAAACGCAGAAUUACCGAGAGCUUUUUGCCUUCAAAUCCCUAUACUGGCAGAAGGUGGAGUUUCUUUUCAAACAAGAAGAGUCUGAAUAUAUUUAAACCGAUAUUUACAAUUUAUAACCGAUAUAAACCAUUUUAAACUUACAAAGGAAUUAGUGGAAACAAUUAAAAAGUAAAAGAAAGGAGUUCAGAAAUAGAGAGGAACAACAGUUUUUAGACUGAGUAGUUGGACCGUAAAUACAUAUUUAAACAUCAGUAUAACAGAAGGAAGAGUCGUCAACAGCAUCUACAUGUUUCCUUCAGAGAAAGAAAUAAACGUGUUUAAUGUGCAGAAAGCAUCAAGUGUUCUCUGAACCAGGAUUAACAGCAACCACAGAGCUUUUCCACGGCCGGUAAAGGAAUUCCCUCUGACUUUAAGAGCAUUACCGCCUGUAUUGAUUUUGCCGUCAGUGUUUUUUUUUUUCCUGGUGAUAUGAGUCAGAGCGUUUUUCUGUCCCUCGCACGGUAGCAAUAAACACAACCGAGCUGCCCCGAGAUCUUUCCCUCUGACAUUAUUAGGAGCUACAGCGGUGUGAGACUCAACAUGGUGUAAAAACAAACCAAAUGUCAGCACCACUGCCCGAGCGCCUCUGCUAUAGCCAACAGCAAAUGUAAUGAAAGCUUGGAAGGGUCUGUUAGUACGCCGCUGACCUUUUAUACAUUUAUUGUUCUCUUGACAUUUCUCCAGGAUGGAGGAGGUGAAAAACAGAAUGAGGUGCUAAAGCAGAAAUCAGGAUUUUCAACUUCCAUCCCUCCCCCCCGUUAGAGAAUGACUUUCAUCGAUCCAAACUCCUGGACUUUACCGAGGGUCGAUGCUGUGAUUGCCAACACUAACUAACUCUCUGCUGCUCUCUCUGUGGACAUGAUACACUUUUAUUAGAUUUCAUGUCACACAAGUGGAGCAGGGAAGUGAAGGGGGAAGAAUUUCUAAGGCUCAGUUCUUUAUUUGACUUUGGAGGAAAAUCUGUCUGAAGCCUUGUUUCCAUUUAAUUUGAUAAUUUGUAAGAGAAAUAGAGUUUCUAUCAGUGAUUUUGGAGCAAAUAAUAAAUGCUGAAUGAGUCGUGAAACUUCUUACAGUGUAGACCAAACUUCAUCCAAUAACUG
This 9245-nucleotide long non-coding RNA is filed under the name Xyrichtys novacula (pearly razorfish). Lineage: Eukaryota; Metazoa; Chordata; Actinopteri; Labriformes; Labridae. The record is from RNAcentral.